GGGGAGUACGUUGCUCGGACUAUUGCGGCGUAAGGGCUCGCAGGCGGUUUCUUAAGUCUGAUGUGAAAGCCCCCGGCUCAACCGGGGAGGGUCAUUGGAAACUGGGAAACUUGAGUGCAGAAGAGGAGAGUGGAAUUCCACGUGUAGCGGUGAAAUGCGUAGAGAUGUGGAGGAACACCAGUGGCGAAGGCGACUCUCUGGUCUGUAACUGACGCUGAGGAGCGAAAGCGUGGGGAGCGAACAGGAUUAGAUACCCUGGUAGUCCACGCCGUAAACGAUGAGUGCUAAGUGUUAGGGGGUUUCCGCCCCUUAGUGCUGCAGCUAACGCAUUAAGCACUCCGCCUGGGGAGUACGGUCGCAAGACUGAAACUCAAAGGAAUUGACGGGGGCCCGCACAAGCGGUGGAGCAUGUGGUUUAAUUCGAAGCAACGCGAAGAACCUUACCAGGUCUUGACAUCCUCUGACAACCCUAGAGAUAGGGCUUUCCCUUCGGGGACAGAGUGACAGGUGGUGCAUGGUUGUCGUCAGCUCGUGUCGUGAGAUGUUGGGUUAAGUCCCGCAACGAGCGCAACCCUUGAUCUUAGUUGCCAGCAUUCAGUUGGGCACUCUAAGGUGACUGCCGGUGACAAACCGGAGGAAGGUGGGGAUGACGUCAAAUCAUCAUGCCCCUUAUGACCUGGGCUACACACGUGCUACAAUGGACAGAACAAAGGGCUGCGAGACCGCAAGGUUUAGCCAAUCCCACAAAUCUGUUCUCAGUUCGGAUCGCAGUCUGCAACUCGACUGCGUGAAGCUGGAAUCGCUAGUAAUCGCGGAUCACAUGCGCGGGGGGGAAUAACUUUCCCGGGGCCUUGUACACACCGCCCGUCACACCACCGAGAGUUUGCAACACCCGAAGUCCGGUGAGGUAACCUUUAUGGAGCCAGCCGCCGAAGGUGGGGCAGAUGAUGGGUGAUAGA
This 959-nucleotide ribosomal RNA is filed under the name Bacillus pumilus. RNAcentral's name for it is "bacterial SSU rRNA". It matches the Rfam family "Bacterial small subunit ribosomal RNA", at positions 531 to 1486 of the family's 1533-position model. The record is from RNAcentral. Lineage: Bacteria; Bacillati; Bacillota; Bacilli; Caryophanales; Bacillaceae.